AGGAAGGAGAAGUCGUAACAAGGUUACCGUAGGUGAACCUGCGGUAGGAUCAUU
RNAcentral lists this ribosomal RNA (54 nucleotides) under Torreya grandis. RNAcentral's name for it is "partial 18S ribosomal RNA". It matches the Rfam family "Eukaryotic small subunit ribosomal RNA", at positions 1777 to 1830 of the family's 1831-position model. Lineage: Eukaryota; Viridiplantae; Streptophyta; Pinopsida; Cupressales; Taxaceae. RNAcentral also lists the same sequence under 2 other names. The record is from RNAcentral.